Molecule: transfer-messenger RNA, 371 nt
Filed under: Propionibacteriaceae bacterium
Lineage: Bacteria; Bacillati; Actinomycetota; Actinomycetes; Propionibacteriales; Propionibacteriaceae
Rfam family: transfer-messenger RNA
About the family: Bacterial tmRNA, also known as 10Sa RNA or SsrA, is named for its dual tRNA and mRNA-like properties.
Source: RNAcentral
GGGGGUGACUGGUUUCGACUUGGGACGGUAGUCCCAGGAGAAGCGGGCCGAGGAUCCAGACUCAACUCGUAAACGAUCGUCUGGAAACCAAUAAGUGCCGAAAACAAGCGCACUGACUUCGCCCUCGCCGCCUGAUCGGUAGAGCCGAAGGGUCAGCCCGGAUGUGCCUUCCGUCCGGUUCCUGGCCUCAUCCAGAAGGCUGACCGCCGCGUCCUCGUUUCAGGGACGUAGCGGGACAUUUCAUGAAACUGGGCUCGUCUGCGACAUGUCGUCGUGAGCGCAGGAGCCGAGAAACCGCUGAGACGACUGCGCCCGGAGAAUACCUGGUUCGCCUUUCAAGGACGCGGGUUCGAUUCCCGCCACCUCCACCG